Molecule: small RNA, 4155 nt
Filed under: Arabidopsis thaliana (thale cress)
Lineage: Eukaryota; Viridiplantae; Streptophyta; Magnoliopsida; Brassicales; Brassicaceae
Description: ATSL272120
Source: RNAcentral
GCUUUCGCUUAAUGAUCCAUCUAUGCGGUCUGAACGAUAUUCUUAUCAUACCCAAGGGUCCGUGGAUUCAUCCACUAGAUCAUCGUAGGCUAACCCAUGAAAUCUUUCUUCCGUCGGCCUUAGGUUUGCUCGCGGGUCCAACAUCCGUUUUGUCCAUCGGUUUCCACCGUGGACUUUCCAGUUGGUUAUCCGUCGAGUCACCCUUUGGUCUUACCGAUCUCUGAUCGGUUUCACCAUGGCUGAGGAGAUAGAUACAUGAAGGCGGCCGCGAUGUUGAUUCUAUAUGGUGAAUCACGUUCGUUACCCAUUCCUUGGUGCUUUCUCCCUUUACCGGUAAGAUUGCAGCCAUGGGUGACCCUUGGGUGUGUUCGGAUGCACUUAUCCUUGUGCUUCCUCGAACACUUUUCUCGAUCCAUCCUAUUCGACGAUCGGUCUGUCCGACCCGUUCCGUCAGACGAUCGACCUAUCCCAUCCGACCCGUCCGACGAUCGGUCUGUCCGAUCCGAUCCGUCUGGCUGAUCCGAUCCGUCCGACGAUCGGUCAGGCCGAUCCAAUCCGACGAUCGGUCUACCAGAUCCGAUUCGUCUCUAAGACGAACGGUCUACCCUCUCUAUCCUCUACACUCCAUCGAACCGUUGGACCGGGAGGUAGCAUGCGCAUUAGUUCGGUCGAGUUAUACUCGCCGAGCCGCACCCCCUUUCCGACCAACAACUUCGGGAUGUGUUGGGACUCUUUUAAGACUAUUUUGUGGUGUUUGGAUGUUGUGUGAUGAUCCCAAAGGCCUUGGGCGUCCUCCCUUAUAUAGGGGGCGAAUGGAUGCUUCCCGAAGCAUCACAUCCGGUCCUUGCACUCUUCCGAAAGGUCACAUCCGUUCCUUGCAUCCUUCCGAAAGGUCACAUCUGUUCCUUGCAUCCUUUGGGCGAUGCAACCGUUCUUUGGUAUCCGCUCGACCUUACACCUUUUGGCUGAGACACCUCUUCACCUGUGAGCUACCACAAUCCACCAGCUCGAGUGUCAGCUGACAGGACCACUCAGCUGGGUCAGUACUCGAUCAGCUCACCGAGCUCAGUCGAGCUGUCGGUCAGCUCACCUAGCUGAGCUAGCUAGUCUUCCAGCUGGUUUAGCUCACAUAGCUUAGCUAGCUAGUUCAUCCAGCUUGUCCAGCUCACCUAGCUGGUUUAGCUUGAACUUUCUCGUUCUUACUACUUAGUAUUUUGGUCCGUUCCUCGACCAUGAUCUAGUUUUCUCCUAAAACAAACCGGCCUCUUUAUGAACGCGGGACGCGGUCGUUACAAGUCUACCCCCCUUAAACUGAAUUUGUCCUCGAAUUCGGCGGGUGAGAGAUCUUGUUUACUCCCUAACUUGGGACACGGGCGUUACAAUUCUUCUCCCAGAUGUGUGCUUUGUUGCCCAAGGAGAAAGGAAACAAACAGAGCUUGAAUCCGUCUUCACUGACACCAUUGAUCUUCUUUAGGUUGUAGUGCCUAUCGAAUUCAUCAAGGUGGUCGAGUGGAUCCUCCAUUGGCAGACCAUGGAAUUUGUUCCCCUGAAUCAUCGAGAUGAGACCACUCUUAAUCUCGAAGUUGUUGUUCUGGAUAGCAGGAGGUUCAAUUCCCUUGCUCUGACGGUGAUCACGUGGUGCAUCUCCAACACCAAUGUUGGCAGGGCCAUUUUGUUGAUUUUGUUCUUCAGCCAUUUGGAGUGGUUGCUGAGGUACAGGGUUGACUGUGGUUCUCCUUUUUCUGAGUUCGCGAGCUGUGCGGUUGAUGUUGUUGUUGAAAAGGAGGUUCUGGUUGCCUGUUGAUCGAGUUCGCAUAGAGCAGAGGUGUACCUGGAUCAAGAAGACAACAAGAAAAACACACAGUUAGUAACUGAAAAGAAAAUUGAAAAAGAAAUUGAUCUAAGCAAGUCUGAAAUCUCAAAUGUAACAAACAAACACCCAAUUGGCAACGACGCCAAAUUGAUAAUAGGUUUUAAGAUCAAUUAAUCCUAAAGCACUAUCAUGUCAUUGUAGUACUGAAGGUUGUCAAUCCAAAUGGGUGUGAUGCUAACAAUCAAGAUGUGAUCAGAAGUCACUAAGUCAAGCCAAGCAAUAACAGGUUUUGGUGCGUUCUAGCAGUCCUAAGUGAACAUGCAGAAAACAGAAAAUCGAAGCAGAAACAAAUAAACACUCGACCAACACAGCUCGUUGUAGAGCACUGGGUGUGGUCGAGUGACAGGUCGAGUAACAGACAGAUAUUGUAACAGGGAUACUCGACUGCACAGUCUGUUGCCAGACAACUGGGUGGUCGAGUAUCAGGUCGAGUAACAGUAAAGAAUUGCAGAAACUAAGCAACAGAUGACAGGAUGCAGUACACAGCAGUAGAGUAAACAAUAAAAUCAAUCAGAUAAAGAAUUCCUAAGGAUGGGGUAAUUGAGUAGUUUCGUUUCCUCAGUUUACAGGUGAUUGACAUGCUCAAUAAAUUAACCCUAGACAACAAGUUCAUUAACCAAAUCUAAGUGCCACCGCAACAGAGACUCUCAAGCUAACCUAGUCCAAGACUCAAUCACCAUUGACGAGAGCUAACCUAACAGGCAUUACGAAUCAACAAGUUAAAGCCAAAACGCUCCCUGCAACCAAUACCUUGGUACAGGGUCACGAAUCUCUGGAAUUAGUGGUUCAGACAUUUCAUCGAACACCUUUUGGGCGCAGAAAUGUCUGGGCUCAAAUUCUAGUUGAUCAGAAAGCAAUAGGCAUUAAGAAAAACUAAUCCAGAAGGGAUCUAUCAACCAAUACUCAAUCACCUAGUAUACUGAGAAUUCUACACUACUCUAACCCAUCCUUAGAAACAUAUUCACUACUCAGACAUCAUAACAGAAAGCAUAAACGUUGAACAAAUUGAAAACAUGAUAACAACAAUGUAACAACAGGAUGAUAACAGAAUGAACAACAGUAAACGAAAUCAAGAACAGAAACUGAAUACUGAAUACUGAAUAGAUAAAGAGAAAUCCGGAUUACAAAAAGUCUAGAACACAAGGUCUGCGGAAAUAAAACUAGAUAAAAACUUCUUGUCUGCGAAAAUGUGAAGUACAUUGCUACUUAUAGCCAAAUAUCCCAAAACCCUAAUACUCAAAACGACGAAGUAUUGGGACGGGUUAAAAACUGUACUCGACCCACGUGGUCGAGUGAAUAGCUGGAGUCUUCUUUUCUUCCUUCUGCUCGAGUGUCUGGUUGAGUGCGGAAUGAAGAAGGCUCUGAAGCUUGUCAUCGAGUAUGCAGCCGAGUGGUGGUGAUGGGGAUACUCGACAUCCAGGUAGAGUGAUGAGGUCGAGUAGAGGUCUGGCAAUGGGAUGAAGUCACUCGGCCUGGGGUCGAGUGAUGUGAUCGAGUGGUGUCAGAAGAUACUCGACUUCCAGGUUGAGUGACGAGGUCGAGUGGUGGUCUGAUGAUGGAGGUGAAGACACUCGACCUCAUGGUCGAGUGAUGUGAUCGAGUGAUGGUUUGGUGAUGGAGAUGAGGGCACUUGACCUCGUGGUCAAGUGGUGAAGUGAAGUGGUGAUGUCCUCUGCUCGACCUGGGGGUCGAGUGGUCUCUUGAGAUCUUGAAGCUCCUACUCGACCUCUUGGUCGAGUGGUUUGUCAUGAUCAGGUCCGCUUCUUCCAUAUAGCUCGUCAACAGCUCCAAAUCACCUGAAAUCAACGCAAAUAUGCAACAUGCAUGCAAAACUAUACUAAACAUGCAAAGUGAUGCAAAUGAUGUGAAAUGGUAUAAAACGGUGAUGAUAUGAUGCUAAAAUGAUGACAAAUAGAUGCUCAAAACAUGCAAAAUACACACUUAUCAGUGGUCGUGCGGGAUGUUUUUCUUUUGGGAGCCUUGACCACAAGGUAGCGAUUGCACGCAACAAGCUGAGAGGAGAGAGUGCUACCACUGCAAGGACAGGGGACCUCUCAGGCUGAAUUGUCCUAAGUUGCAGCGGAUGGCAGUGGCAGUAGUACAGCCGGUGGCAAGGAGCUCAGGUGCAGCAGGGAGCGCAGGUGCAGUAGGGAAUGCCGAAAAUGUGCAGUAGUUAGCACAUAUUGCAGCGGCACCGCAGGGCUACACUAGGCGUGAGACAGGCGGUACCAGCAAUAGAUCGAUCACUAGUAUGAUUUUUGAGACUCUACUUUGUGAAUUAU